This 66-nucleotide transfer RNA is filed under the name Condylostylus luteicoxa. Its description in RNAcentral is "tRNA-Asn". Lineage: Eukaryota; Metazoa; Arthropoda; Insecta; Diptera; Dolichopodidae. The record is from RNAcentral.
UUAAUUGAAGCCAAAAAGAGGCUUAUCACUGUUAAUGAUAUCAAUGGAUUCUAUAUCCCAAUUAAA